CGUAACGUAGGGAACCUGCCAUGCGGCCGGGACAACUUCCGGAACGGAUGCUGAUACCGGAUAAGGAAAGCGAAGGCAUCUUUGCUUUGUUAAAGGAGCUGCAAGGCUCCGCGCAUGGAUGGACCUGCGGUGCAUUAGCUGGUUGGUGAGGUAAAGGCUCACCAAGGCGACGAUGCAUAGCCGGCCUGAGAGGGCGAACGGCCACACUGGGACUGAGACACGGCCCAGACUCCUACGGGAGGCAGCAG
RNAcentral lists this ribosomal RNA (248 nucleotides) under uncultured bacterium. RNAcentral describes it as "partial 16S ribosomal RNA". It matches the Rfam family "Bacterial small subunit ribosomal RNA", at positions 109 to 354 of the family's 1533-position model. The record is from RNAcentral.